Molecule: ribosomal RNA, 256 nt
Filed under: uncultured bacterium
Lineage: Bacteria
Description: partial 16S ribosomal RNA
Rfam family: Bacterial small subunit ribosomal RNA
Source: RNAcentral
UAAUACAGAGGGUGCGAGCGUUAAUCGGAAUUACUGGGCGUAAAGGGUGCGUAGGUGGCAAGGUAAGUUGGAUGUGAAAGCCCUGGGCUUAACCUGGGAACGGCAUCCAAGACUGCCUGGCUAGAGUCGUGUAGAGGGAAGUGGAAUUUCCGGUGUAGCGGUGAAAUGCGUAGAUAUCGGAAGGAACAUCAGUGGCGAAGGCGGCUUCCUGGACACAGACUGACACUCAGGCACGAAAGCGUGGGUAGCAAACAGG